AGUGUGUGUGUGUGUGUGCACACGCGCGUGCGCGCACACACGCGCGCACGCACACACACACACACACACACACACG
This 76-nucleotide microRNA precursor is filed under the name Podarcis lilfordi (Lilford's wall lizard). Lineage: Eukaryota; Metazoa; Chordata; Lepidosauria; Squamata; Lacertidae. The record is from RNAcentral.